UCUACGGCCAUACCACCCUGAAUGCGCCCAAUCUCGUCUGAUCUCGGAAGCUAAGCAGGGUUGGGCCUGGUUAGUACUUGGAUGGGAGAAGGAGAUCUGUCACUGCACACCUUAUCAGAAGCCAGGAUCCGGAAGGA
This 137-nucleotide ribosomal RNA is filed under the name Mustela putorius furo (domestic ferret). The record is from RNAcentral. Lineage: Eukaryota; Metazoa; Chordata; Mammalia; Carnivora; Mustelidae.